Molecule: ribosomal RNA, 460 nt
Filed under: uncultured bacterium
Lineage: Bacteria
Description: partial 16S ribosomal RNA
Rfam family: Bacterial small subunit ribosomal RNA
Source: RNAcentral
CCUACGGGAGGCAGCAGUGAGGAAUAUUGGUCAAUGGACGAGAGUCUGAACCAGCCAAGUAGCGUGAAGGAUGACUGCCCUAUGGGUUGUAAACCUCUUUUAUAAAGGAAUAAAACGAGGCACGUGUGCCUUUUUGCAUGUACUUUAUGAAUAAGGAUCGGCUAACUCCGUGCCAGCAGCCGCGGUAAUACGGAGGAUCCGAGCGUUAUCCGGAUUUAUUGGGUUUAAAGGGAGCGUAGAUGGGUUGUUAAGUCAGUUGUGAAAGUUUGCGGCUCAACCGUAAAAUAGCAAUUGAUACUGGCAGUCUUGAGUACAGUUGAGGUAGGCGGAAUUCGUGGUGUAGCGGUGAAAUGCUUAGAUAUCACGAAGAACCCCGAUUGCGAAGGCAGCAUACUAAACUGUAACUGACAUUGAUGCACGAAAGUGUGGGUAUCAAACAGGAUUAGAUACCCCUGUAGUC